AAUUGCAUGGAAUACUCACCACCAUAAAAAAGUGCUGAUUUUGUUACUUUCACCUGUUCCCUCUCCUGGGAUGGAACGAAAUAAUGAACUCCAAAGGUUGGAAGUAAUAUUGGAAUUGCAUGGAAUUCUUACCACCCCACCAAAGAAGAGCUGGUUUUGUCACUUCUGCCACUCCUUAUCUAAGAAGAAAUCCAAUGAUGCACUCUCAAGAAUUUUUGCAUUUUCUCAGUCUUCCUACUAAUGCCUCAUACAGGAAUUAAGCAUGGAGACAAAGGGUAACAAGGAUAGAGCUCAGGUUUCCUAUGAAGAUGUUUAUUCCUUCCACUUAAGAUGCGACAUGAAGGAAAGGCCCAUCCUAAGAGGCCAGUGGGAAUUCUCAAGUCAGUAAGCAUUUGUCCCUAAAAUAUUGACCUUCCUUCUAAGGAUUAUAUAAUAUUCCAAUUACCAUAAGGCACUGUCUAUGAUAAUCAGCUGUGGAGCCUGGAUCACUGAUGUGGGGUCUGGUCUCCAUAACUGAGUAGAGUAGAUAAGGGAUGAACUUCAGAGUUUCUUUCACUUUCUGAGGUGAGCAGUGCCCUAUUUUAGAAACUCAUGUGUAACAAUGAUUGCUAUAAUAAUUUAUCACAUUUAAAAAUCUGAACAAAAUGAGUUACAUAAUUACUUCUGUGAAACUGAGGUCUAACAUAGAUACCAACCCUAAGCAAAAUAUUUACAGGGUGAAGAUCAGUGAUUUCAUUUGUGUGGUAUCAGGAAGAACUGUUGUAUUAGAAAGCUAAGCUGCUUGCAUGCAUUAGAGGAACUAAACUGUACAGUGUCUAUUCAUAUCUAAUUUUCAGGUGAAAUUACAAUCCUUUGG
Non-coding RNA from Kogia breviceps (pygmy sperm whale), 856 nucleotides. NCBI's taxonomy places the organism in Eukaryota, Metazoa, Chordata, Mammalia, Artiodactyla, Physeteridae. The record is from RefSeq and is a predicted model, not a curated record.